This 253-nucleotide ribosomal RNA is filed under the name uncultured bacterium. RNAcentral's name for it is "partial 16S ribosomal RNA". It matches the Rfam family "Bacterial small subunit ribosomal RNA", at positions 524 to 776 of the family's 1533-position model. The record is from RNAcentral.
UACGUAGGGGGCAAGCGUUGUCCGGAAUCAUUGGGCGUAAAGAGCGUGUAGGCGGCCCGAUAAGUCCGCUGUGAAAGUCCAGGGCUCAACCCUGGAAUGCCAGUGGAAACUGUCGGGCUGGAGUCCGGAAGAGGCGAGUGGAAUUCCUGGUGUAGCGGUGAAAUGCGCAGAUAUCAGGAGGAAUACCUGUGGUGUAGACGGCUCUCUGGACCGCAACUGACGCUGAGACACGAAAGCGUGGGUAGCAAACAGG